This 87-nucleotide transfer RNA is filed under the name Flavobacteriales bacterium. RNAcentral describes it as "tRNA-Ser". It matches the Rfam family "tRNA". Rfam says of the family: Transfer RNA (tRNA) molecules are approximately 80 nucleotides in length. Their secondary structure includes four short double-helical elements and three loops (D, anti-codon, and T loops). Lineage: Bacteria; Pseudomonadati; Bacteroidota; Flavobacteriia; Flavobacteriales. The record is from RNAcentral.
GGUGAGAUGGGUGAGUGGCUUAAACCAACAGUUUGCUAAACUGUCGUACGUUAACGCGUACCGGGGGUUCGAAUCCCCCUCUCACCG